GAUCCUAGCUAUCGUUCUUUUCACUCUGGUGGAUAUGGCCAGGAUGCCUUGGGUAUGGACCCCAUGAUGGAACAUGAGAUGGGUGGCCACCACCCUGGUGCUGACUAUCCAGUUGAUGGGCUGCCAGAUCUGGGGCAUGCCCAGGACCUCAUGGAUGGGCUGCCUCCAGGUGACAGCAAUCAGCUGGCCUGGUUUGAUACUGACCUGUAAAUCAUCCUUUAGGAAGUGGGAGUCAAAGUGACCCUUGUCUACUGUGAUGCUGAAUUCAUGACUAAGAGACUAUUGGUGAACUUAUCCUGGCUGUGAUUACAGACGUCAAGAGAGAGUACUGCAGCAACACUAAGAAAAUAAUGCAAGAGAACACCCGCGAAGAGUGCCCAGGCAACACUGACAGACUAGAAAAAAAAUAUCAGGAGAUGAAGCUGACACAGUGAGAGCAGCCCAGGUGCUUCUUGGUGCUUGUUAUUACAGACACACACUUCACACAGGGGAGGAUUAUUUUAAUUCUGUGGCCUUCAGAUCUCAUAAAUACAAGUAAAAACAAGCAGGUAACUAUGACAACUUUACUUCAGAGAGUUGAAAUUUCAAAAAUAAACCUAUCCAUCCA
This 607-nucleotide small RNA is filed under the name Pongo abelii (Sumatran orangutan). RNAcentral describes it as "processed transcript". The record is from RNAcentral. Lineage: Eukaryota; Metazoa; Chordata; Mammalia; Primates; Hominidae.